UAGGGAAUCUUCGGCAAUGGACGAAAGUCUGACCGAGCAACGCCGCGGGAGUGAAGAAGGGUUUCGGAUCGUAAAACUCUGUUGUUAGAGAAGAACAAGGACGUUAGUAACUGAACGUCCCCUGACGGUAUCUAACCAGAAAGCCACGGCUAACUACGUGCCAGCAGCCGCGGUAAUACGUAGGUGGCAAGCGUUGUCCGGAUUUAUUGGGCGUAAAGCGAGCGCAGGCGGUUUCUUAAGUCUGAUGUGAAAGCCCCCGGCUCAACCGGGGAGGGUCAUUAGAAACUGGGAGACUUGAGUGCAGAAGAGGAGAGUGGAAUUCCAUGUGUAGCGGUGAAAUGCGUAGAUAUAUGGAGGAACACCAGUGGCGAAGGCGGCUCUCUGGUCUGUAUCUGACGCUGAGGCUCGAAAGCGUGGGGAACAAACAGG
Molecule: ribosomal RNA, 429 nt
Filed under: Gemmatimonadota bacterium
Lineage: Bacteria; Pseudomonadati; Gemmatimonadota
Description: Gemmatimonadetes bacterium partial 16S ribosomal RNA
Rfam family: Bacterial small subunit ribosomal RNA
Source: RNAcentral